UGCACUGCCGGCAGCCAUCUCUCUGCAACUUUCACAUGGUUGCCCACUGAAGCUAAGCAGGGCUGCGCCCGGUAAGUACCUGGAUGGGAGACCACAUGGGAAAGCUAGGAAGUGGUGUUA
Molecule: ribosomal RNA, 120 nt
Filed under: Danio rerio (zebrafish)
Lineage: Eukaryota; Metazoa; Chordata; Actinopteri; Cypriniformes; Danionidae
Source: RNAcentral